UCAAACUUGGUCAUUUAGAGGAAGUAAAAGUCGUAACAAGGUUUCCGUAGGUGAACCUGCGGAAGGAUCAUUACACAAAAGGAUACCCUCACCGGUAUACCCCACCCGUAUCUAUUUACUCUUGUUGCUUUGGCAGGCCGUGGUCUCCCACUGCGGGCUCUGCCUGCAAGUGCCUGCCAGAGGACCAAACUCUGAAUUUUAGUGAUGUCUGAGUACUAUAUAAUAGUUAAAACUUUCAACAACGGAUCUCUUGGUUCUGGCAUCGAUGAAGAACGCAGC
This 279-nucleotide unclassified non-coding RNA is filed under the name uncultured fungus. RNAcentral's name for it is "partial contains small subunit ribosomal RNA, internal transcribed spacer 1, and 5.8S ribosomal RNA". The stretch from base 1 to 73 matches the Rfam family "Eukaryotic small subunit ribosomal RNA", at positions 1759 to 1831 of the family's 1831-position model. Lineage: Eukaryota; Fungi. The record is from RNAcentral.